RNAcentral lists this ribosomal RNA (253 nucleotides) under uncultured bacterium. RNAcentral's name for it is "partial 16S ribosomal RNA". It matches the Rfam family "Bacterial small subunit ribosomal RNA", at positions 524 to 776 of the family's 1533-position model. The record is from RNAcentral.
UACGUAGGUGGCAAGCGUUGUCCGGAAUUAUUGGGCGUAAAGCGCGCGCAGGUGGUUCCUUAAGUCUGAUGUGAAAGCCCACGGCUCAACCGUGGAGGGUCAUUGGAAACUGGGGAACUUGAGUGCAGAAGAGGAGAGUGGAAUUCCUGGUGUAGCGGUGAAAUGCGCAGAUAUCAGGAAGAACACCCGUGGCUAAGGCGGCCCUCUAGUACGGUACUGACGCUGAGACGCGAAAGCGUGGGGAGCGAACAGG